AGGAAGUCGCUUCUUUUUCUGGCAGAAGGCGGGGUUCUCCCCGUACGCUGCGGAGUCUCUGCGGGGUGUAGACCGGAAUCCUGCUGACGGGCAGAGUGGAUCAGGGAGGGAGGGUCGAGACACGGUGGCUGCAGGUCUGAGACAAGGCUGCUCCGAGGUAGUAGCUCUCUUGCCUGGAGGUGGCCAUUCAUUCCUGGAGUGCUGCUGAGGAGCGAGGGCCCCUCUGGGGUCUCUGGAAGUCGGUGCCCAGGCCUGAAGAAUAGCCCCCCCUUGCGCUUCCCUGGGCUGCGACCGGCCUUCUCAGAGCGAAGGGCGUCCUUCCACCCCGCGGCGCAGGUGACCGCUGCCAUGGCUUUUCCCCAUCGGCCAGACGCCCCUGAGCUGCCUGACUUCUCCAUGCUGAAGAGGCUGGCUCGAGACCAGCUCAUCUAUCUGCUGGAGCAGAUUGUGCUUCUUGGUCAGACCCCGCAUCAAGAAUAUGCGAUACAUUGCCAGUCUUGUCAAUGCUGACAAAUUGGCUGGCCGAACUCGCAAAUACAAAGUGAUCUUCAGCCCUCAAAAG
RNAcentral lists this small RNA (562 nucleotides) under Pan troglodytes (chimpanzee). RNAcentral describes it as "processed transcript". Lineage: Eukaryota; Metazoa; Chordata; Mammalia; Primates; Hominidae. The record is from RNAcentral.